Molecule: unclassified non-coding RNA, 229 nt
Filed under: plant metagenome
Description: partial contains small subunit ribosomal RNA, internal transcribed spacer 1, and 5.8S ribosomal RNA
Source: RNAcentral
UCUCCGUAGGUGAACCUGCGGAGGGAUCAUUACAGAGUUCAUGCCCUACCGGGUAGAUCUCCCACCCUAUGUUAUUAUUACUUUGUUGCUUUGGGGGGCCGUUAGGCUCCGGCCCGACUACCGGCCCCGGCUGGUAAGCGCCCGCCAGAGGACCCAAAACCCUGAAUAUUAGUGUCGUCUGAGUACUAUAUAAUAGUUAAAACUUUCAACAACGGAUCUCUUGGUUCUG